Molecule: transfer RNA, 82 nt
Filed under: Lachnospiraceae bacterium
Lineage: Bacteria; Bacillati; Bacillota; Clostridia; Lachnospirales; Lachnospiraceae
Description: tRNA-Leu
Rfam family: tRNA
About the family: Transfer RNA (tRNA) molecules are approximately 80 nucleotides in length. Their secondary structure includes four short double-helical elements and three loops (D, anti-codon, and T loops). Further hydrogen bonds mediate the characteristic L-shaped molecular structure. tRNAs have two regions of fundamental functional importance: the anti-codon, which is responsible for specific mRNA codon recognition, and the 3' end, to which the tRNAs corresponding amino acid is attached (by aminoacyl-tRNA synthetases). tRNAs cope with the degeneracy of the genetic code in two manners: having more than one tRNA (with a specific anti-codon) for a particular amino acid; and 'wobble' base-pairing, i.e. permitting non-standard base-pairing at the 3rd anti-codon position.
Source: RNAcentral
GCGGAUGUGGCGGAAUCGGCAGACGCGCCGGAUUUAGGUUCCUGUGCCGCAGGGCGUGCGGGUUCAAAUCCCGCCAUCCGCA